RNAcentral lists this ribosomal RNA (254 nucleotides) under uncultured bacterium. RNAcentral describes it as "partial 16S ribosomal RNA". It matches the Rfam family "Archaeal small subunit ribosomal RNA", at positions 474 to 727 of the family's 1478-position model. The record is from RNAcentral.
UACCAGCACCCCGAGUGGUCGGGACGAUUAUUGGGCCUAAAGCAUCCGUAGCCGGCCUUACAAGUCCUCCGUUAAAUCCAGCUGCUUAACAGAUGGGCUGCGGAGGAUACUAUAAGACUAGGAGGCAGGAGAGGCAAGCGGUACUCAGUGGGUAGGGGGUAAAAUCCGUUGAUCCAUUGAAGACCACCAGUGGCGAAGGCGGCUUGCCAGAAUGCGCUCGACGGUGAGGGAUGAAAGCUGGGGGAGCAAACCGG